UCCCAGCGGUGGAUACCUAGGCUCUUGUAUCGAUGACGAACGCAGCAAAGCGCGAAAGGUAGUGUGACGCGCGGCACACUGUGAGCCAUCAACUCUUCGAACGCAAACGGCGCUUUCUUU
This 120-nucleotide ribosomal RNA is filed under the name Geminigera cryophila. RNAcentral's name for it is "partial 5.8S ribosomal RNA". It matches the Rfam family "5.8S ribosomal RNA", at positions 7 to 123 of the family's 154-position model. Rfam says of the family: 5.8S ribosomal RNA (5.8S rRNA) is a component of the large subunit of the eukaryotic ribosome. It is transcribed by RNA polymerase I as part of the 45S precursor that also contains 18S and 28S rRNA. Functionally, it is thought that 5.8S rRNA may be involved in ribosome translocation. RNAcentral also lists the same sequence under 2 other names. Lineage: Eukaryota; Cryptophyceae; Pyrenomonadales; Geminigeraceae. The record is from RNAcentral.